GCCGGGCGCGGUGGCACGUGCCUGUAGUCCCAGCUACUUGGGAGGCUGAGGUGGGAGGAUCGCUUGAGCCCAGGAGUUCUGGGCUGCAGUGCGCUAUGCCAAUCAGGUGUCCGCACUAAGUUCGGCAUCAAUAUGGUGACCUCCCGGGAGCGGGGGACCACCAGGUUGCCUAAGGAGGGGUGAACCGGCCCAGGUCGGAAACAGAGCACGUCAAAACUCCCAUGCUGAUCAGUAGUGGGAUCACGCCUGUGAAUAGCCACUACACUCCAGCCUGGGCAACAUAGCGAGACCCUGUCUCU
RNAcentral lists this signal recognition particle RNA (299 nucleotides) under Saimiri boliviensis boliviensis (Bolivian squirrel monkey). RNAcentral's name for it is "Metazoan signal recognition particle RNA (ENSSBOG00000002362.1)". It matches the Rfam family "Metazoan signal recognition particle RNA". From Rfam's summary of the family: The signal recognition particle (SRP) is a universally conserved ribonucleoprotein. It is involved in the co-translational targeting of proteins to membranes. Lineage: Eukaryota; Metazoa; Chordata; Mammalia; Primates; Cebidae. The record is from RNAcentral.